CGCCCUUUUCACAGAGGGAUAGCCCAGAGAAAUUUGGAUUAAUACCUCAUAGCAUUAUAGAAUGGCAUCAUUUUAUAAUUAAAGUCACAACGGUGAAAGAUGAGCAUGCGUCCCAUUAGCUAGUUGGUAAGGUAACGGCUUACCAAGGCAACGAUGGGUAGGGGUCCUGAGAGGGAGAUCCCCCACACUGGUACUGAGACACGGACCAGACUCCUACGGGAGGCAGCAGUGAGGAAUAUUGGUCAAUGGGCGCAAGCCUGAACCAGCCAUGCCGCGUGCAGGAUGACGGUCCUAUGGAUUGUAAACUGCUUUUGCACAGGAAGAAACACUCCGACGUGUCGGAGCUUGACGGUACUGUGAGAAUAAGGAUCGGCUAACUCCGUGCCAGCCGCCGCGGUAAUACAA
RNAcentral lists this ribosomal RNA (405 nucleotides) under Flavobacterium chungbukense. Its description in RNAcentral is "bacterial SSU rRNA". It matches the Rfam family "Bacterial small subunit ribosomal RNA", at positions 126 to 528 of the family's 1533-position model. The record is from RNAcentral. Lineage: Bacteria; Pseudomonadati; Bacteroidota; Flavobacteriia; Flavobacteriales; Flavobacteriaceae.